RNAcentral lists this ribosomal RNA (406 nucleotides) under uncultured bacterium. RNAcentral describes it as "partial 16S ribosomal RNA". It matches the Rfam family "Bacterial small subunit ribosomal RNA", at positions 30 to 526 of the family's 1533-position model. The record is from RNAcentral.
AUUGAACGCUGGCGGCAGGCCUAACACAUGCAAGUCGAGCGAGUGGCGGACGGGUGAGUAAUGUAUGGGAAACUGCCCGAUGGAGGGGGAUAACUACUGGAAACGGUGGCUAAUACCGAAUACAACCGGAAGAGCCCAUAUGGGAUUAGCUAGUAGUUUGGGCAAAGGCUCAACUAGGCGACUAUCCCUAGCUGGUCUGAGAGGAUGAGGGGCCACACGGGAACUGAACCACGGCCCAGAUCCUUACGGGAGGCAGCAGUGGGGAAUAUUGGAAAAGGGGGGAAACCCGGACGCAGCCAUGCCGCGUGUAUGAAGAGGUCCUUCGGGUUUUAAAGUACUUUCGGUAGGGAGGCGGUACCUAAAGAAUAAGCACCGGCUAACUACGUGCCAGCAGCCGCGGUAAUAC